RNAcentral lists this ribosomal RNA (253 nucleotides) under uncultured bacterium. RNAcentral describes it as "partial 16S ribosomal RNA". It matches the Rfam family "Bacterial small subunit ribosomal RNA", at positions 524 to 776 of the family's 1533-position model. The record is from RNAcentral.
UACGUAGGGUGCAAGCGUUGUUCGGAAUUACUGGGCGUAAAGGGCGCGUAGGCGGCCCGCUAAGUCGAACGUGAAAUCCCCGAGCUCAACUCGGGAACUGCGUCCGAUACUGGUGGGCUUGAAUCCGGGAGAGGGAUGCGGAAUUCCAGGUGUAGCGGUGAAAUGCGUAGAUAUCUGGAGGAACACCGGUGGCGAAGGCGGCAUCCUGGACCGGCAUUGACGCUGAGGCGCGAAAGCUGGGGGAGCAAACGGG